GCAAUGUUUGAGGCGCUGGGAUCGAGAUUUUAUUUUAAUGCAUUGAGUCAAGUCCGCCAGACACUGCUGAGCUCACCACUAGGAGCACGGAUACUUAAAGAAACAACAACAGAUAAAAUCAGACAGUCGUUCCUUCCUAUCCUGCUGACUGGUCUGAUAUUAUCAUGUGCCCUUGGAUUAAUGUCCUAACUAGCUUUAUUGUCUUGGAUUCCAUUACAUGGGCUCAUGAUGAUGGUGAUGAUGAUGUUGAUGAUGAUGAUAAUGUAAUCAUAAUUUUUUAUGUUUAGUUUUAGGUCAGCAUAUUUUUGAUGAUGAUGGUGUUGACUUGAUGUAUUUGAUACGGUACUUAACUUCUAUCUAGGUUUUACUUUGUACUAUUGCUGGUGCUAAUGUUGAUCAUUAAUAUUGAUAUAUUUAUAUUGAUGGCCAAUAAAAAGAAAAUAUUAAGAUGGGUAAAAGAACACAGACACUGGAGAGAGGAACUCUGCCUAGAAGGCCAGCAUCCCGGAGUCGCCUCUUCACUGUUGAUGUUGAGACUGGUGUUUUGCGGGUACUAUUUAAUGAAGCUGCCAGUUGAGGACUUGUGAGGCAUCUGUUUCUCAAACUAGACGCUCUAAUGUACUUGUCCUCUUGCUCAGUUGUGCACCGGGGCCUGCCACUCCUCUUUCUAUUGUGGUUAGAGCCUGUUGGCGCUGUUCUGUGAAGGGAGUAGUACACAGCAUUGUACGAGAUCUUCAAUUUCUUGCCAAUUUCUCGCAUGGAAUAGCCUUCAUUUCUCAGAACAAGAAUAGACUGAUGAGUUUCAGAAGAAAGUUCUUUGUUUCUGGCCAUUUUGAGCCUGUAAUCGAACCCACAAAUGCUGAUGCUCAAGUAGUCUAAAGAAGGCCUGUUUUAUUGCUUCUUUAAACAGAACAACAGUUUUCAGCUGUGCUAACAUAAUUCCAAAAAGGUUUUCUAACGAUUUAUUAGCCUUUUAAAAUGAUAAACUUGGGGUAGCUAACACAACGUGCCACUGGAACACAGGAGUGAUGAUUGCUGAUAAUGGGCCUCUGUACGCCUAUGUAGAAAUUCCAUUAAAAAUCAGCCGUUUCCAGCUACAAUAGUAAUUUACAACAUUAACAAUGUCUACACUGUAUUUCUGAUCAAUUUGAUGUUAUUUUAAUGGACCAAAAAAUUGCUUUUCUUUAAAAAUCAAGGAAAGUUCUAAGUGACCCCAAACUUUAGAACGGGAGUGUACAUCUCUGUCAAAUUGUUAAUUUCAUGCCUAAGGAUAAAGAAAGGGUUAUACCUGUAUUUUGUUUAUUGGUCAUAUAUGCAAUUAGGUCCACAGUGUAAUGUUUAUAAAUAGUAUUACAUGUACUGUAGGUAGGAGACAAAUUAUAAUUUUAUAGAUUGUUAUCACUUCUAAUGAUGAAUAAAUAAUGAUUGCAUUGCAUAAAUCCUAAUUCAGUAUGGUUAUUGGCUUUAUAUCAAUUGUGAGAGGUUUGCGUCAAUUACAACAUGUAAGGAGGCGUUCAAAUUCCUCAAAAUAUUAACGCAGGGGAGUUUUGACUUCUUCGAAUUUCCCUGUGAAGAAAGGAGCCGUGUCUUCUUUCAAAGCCCAGAUUGUUCCAUCCUAGUCCUGAGGCAAAGGCCAGAACACACUCUUUCAGUGCUCAGAGCAUGUGACACAAACACAAGCCACUGCUCAAUAUUUGUUUGUGUUAACAUUACCAAUGUAUCUCCUUGGCUUGAACAAGCCCUUUGGUAGGGAGUUCACAUAAUGUCAUGCCUACAAUUUGUGCUUCUCACAGAUGGCCUUGAGUGCACAAUUAAGUUGUUUUGCACCAAGGUCCGCUCACAGCCCCUGUGUGUGUAUCACUUUCCUGUUAAAUUCCAGCUGACUGGAAUCACUGAAUACACUGUAAAAAAAAAAAGGUGAUAGUUCUACUUUUUUUAAAUUAACUGUUUGCCUCAGCUUUUUGAGUAUUUA
RNAcentral lists this long non-coding RNA (1972 nucleotides) under Salmo salar (Atlantic salmon). Its description in RNAcentral is "lncRNA (ENSSSAG00000102290.1)". Lineage: Eukaryota; Metazoa; Chordata; Actinopteri; Salmoniformes; Salmonidae. The record is from RNAcentral.